Molecule: RNA transcript, 4094 nt
Organism: Folsomia candida
Lineage: Eukaryota; Metazoa; Arthropoda; Collembola; Entomobryomorpha; Isotomidae
Exons: 3
Source: RefSeq, a predicted model, not a curated record
UUUACAUGGAUAUUGAAAUAAUAAUAAAAAGUCAAAUGUCUUUAUUUUUGGUAGAUGCGAUUCCCAAGUAUUCUACAAUGUCGUUCGCUUCAAGGACUGACGGAUAAUUUUGAUAAUUGAGGCGUUUCUCGAAUUCAGAAAUUUCAGGAUAAGUUUUGGCACCCAAGCCACGACGUCUUCUUCUUUUUUUACGCACUGCGUUAAUAAUGAAUACAUAUGUAUAAAUAUAUGUAGCUCUAACAAGGGAAACUCACAAUAAUCUAUAUUAUAAGCUGGAAAUGUUUGUCUGCAACGGAAGUGAAAGUGGACAAAGUUUCACUUCUUUUGCUAACAGACAUUUCCAGCGAAUUAAGUAUAUACAAUAUAGAUACAAAAGAAUAACGAGGUGGAAUUAUGAACAAUCCCACUUAAUUUUCACGAAAACCAAAUUCGCUCUCGCACGAAAAAAUGAAUUUUUGAAAAUUUUUGAAAUUGAAUUUUUAUAUUUUCAGGGAUGUAAUUCUGAACACAAAUUGGGUUUAAUUUUUUAAAUCGGGCUAAAAUUCGAAAAUUUACAGCGUUUUUAAAAAUCCGAAUUUUGGCUGAAAUUUUUUUUGAAAAUUCCUCCACGGGCAUAAACAUCCCCAUUCAGCAAAAUGAAAAAAUACGGGUCCACUUAUUUUUGAGCGUGAACAAUUUAAAAUUAGUACGGUGGAUAUCGGCGAUAACCACGUCACACCAUCGCAUUGUGAGUGAAAUAUGCAGCAUACAUUGCCACACCUUGUUCUCCCAACACAGCAACAGCAUAUAUUUAACAGUGAACCUGUUGUACAUACAACACGCUAAAUAAAGUUGUGUACAACCGGUUGAGUAAAGUGGAAUUGGUUAAUUUUUCUACAACAUUGGUACAAAUUAUUCCAACCUAAGACUAAAAACUAAUCAACGGAGUUGUAUAAAUUGAUCUUUACCCAACGUUGUAAAUUUUGUAGUCAUUACUUGUGAAAAAUCGGUUUUCUACAUGUAUGACUAAUUUUUACUCAAUUAUUGGUUAGUUUUUUUUACAAAUAAUUGCAACAAAUAAACCAACGUAAAAGUUGAAAAACUCGCUACAAUAAAGAAUAAAUUUUAUACAUAAGUUGAGGAAAUUUUACUCAACACUUGUAUCAAAAUUAACAAACCAGUUGUGUGGUCUUGGAUGACGCUUCCCGCGAGCACAAAAAUUCUUCAGUUCUUCUUGCCACCUCGCCGCUCUAGUUAGGUGGAGAUUUUUGUUCCUGCAAAUUAGUUAAAAAUUUCUAGAAAUGACGAAAUUUUUGGAAUCAAUUCUCCAGACAGUUGGACUGGAAGUAUUAUUGGAAACUUUUAAAGAUAAUGAUUUUGACGACGAACUUCUUCGUCAAAUUCCCGACUGCCCUGCUGGUUCACUUGAGGAACAUCUGUUUGCCACGCUGGUCCCGUCAAUAGGAAACAGACUAAAAAUAAUUGGUGCAAUUAGGAAGGUUAGUGUAGUUAAGGAAGAAAAUGUGUAUAUAUGUAGCUUGUGUCAUCGUUCCUUAAAUUCUUUCAAAUCUUUUUGGAAUCAUAUCAGGGAUUUUCACGAGAUAACAGGGCCUUCAGCCAGAAUAGAUUGUCCCUUGUGUUUAAUGACCUUCACAAAUAUUAACAAUCUUAGAAAACACGUGCAAGCCAAAAUAUGCCCAAAAUUACUUUCACAAUUUAGUUUUCCAAAAAUAACAAAUAACCUUAAUGAUGAGAAUAUUUUGUCUCAAGAAAGUUUUUUUAGUCAUGAUUAUUCUGCCAAAAUAAUUAAUGAAGUGACAAAUGAUUAUAAAUUGUCAUUUAUGAGGUCACUUCAAAUGUCUGGAUCAAUUCCCCUAGUAAAAUCUGGGGAAAUUCUUUGUGCUGCAAAUUCUUUGGUUAAUAGCAUUGUUGAUAUUGCUAAGACUUUCCUACAACCAAAUCUUUCCCACGAUGAAAUUAUUAUCAAAUUAAACUCUUUAAAGGAACCAUUUCCGAAACAAACUUCAUCUCAAUAUCAAAUUGAAAAAUAUUUAGAGAAAACAAAAAUAUUUAUAGAAGCACAGGAACUACGACUUGGUUCGCAUUUCAAAUUCGACAAUUCAGUAGGAGCGAUGCGUGAGAAAUUUGACAAUAUGUACUACUUCCGGAUAUCUGAUAUUCUUCCCGUAGCCCUUAAAAAAUAUAGAGAGGUCACUGAUGCCGGAGGACGUCUGAAUCAGGAUAAAAAUAUUAUACGGGAUUAUCAGUCAGGGGAAUUUGUCAGUAGUUUUACAGGAAAUCCUCUUUUUAUCCAAAUUUACUAUGACGAUAUUGAAAUCUGCAAUCCAUUGGGUGCAAAAGCUAAAAUCCACAAAUUAGGAAUGUUUUACUUCAUAAUUUCGAAUUUUGCUCCUCAUUUAAAGUCACAGCUUUCCGCAAUAUUCCCACUAUUAAUUGUUAAAUCCAAAUAUAUAAAAUCAUAUGGGAUGAAUUCCAUUCUUGCACCAAUUGUAAAUGAGCUUAAUAAAUUAAACAAAAGUAUGCCUAAAUCCGAGGAAUUUGAAAACUCACCCUUUAGCAAUGUCCAAUUACUUCAAGUUUGUGGUGAUAAUCUAGCGCUUCAUGCAAUCCUUGGAUUUUCUGAAAGUUUCAACGCCAAUUUCCGUUGCCGUUUUUGCAAAGCAACCAAAUCACAGAGCUACGUUGAUGUGGAGGAGCGAAAAGAGUUGAUUCGAAAUAGAUUGGGAUACUCUGAAGAUGUUGAGGUUCAAAACGUUAGUCUCACUGGCAUAAAAGAACUAUCCAUAAUUAAUCAGAUUGCUGGAUUUCACGUUACUUCUAACUUUGCCCCCGAUAUUAUGCACGACAUAUUUGAAGGAAUUUGUAUAAUUGAAUUAAAGCUGGUCCUCGAACAUAUUUUACAGAAUAAUUAUUUUUCGCUAGUUGAAAUUAAUCAUAGAUUGUCAUGUUGCUUGAAGAGAAAUGGUCAUCAUUUAACAAAAUUUCCCGAAAUAGGCUCAAAUAUUAUUGACGGCGACAAAAAGUCUUGUUUUUCUGCGUCAGAAAUGAGUAAUUUCUUUCUCGUCUUUCCUGCAGUUUUUGGUGACCGAAUUCCAUCCGACGAUAAAUAUUGGAACUUAAUACUUAAAUUUCGGAGAAUAAUACGCAUCGUGAUGGCUCCAGUCAUAACACGAUCAAAAUUAUUACUUCUUCAGUUCUUAAUAGCAGAGCAUCAUCAGAUGUAUAUUGAUUUAACGGGGAAUAAUUUAACUCCAAAAUUUCAUCACUUAUUGCAUUAUCCAAACGCAAUUAAUCAGUUAGGCCCACUCAGAAAUUACUGGUGUAUGAGAUUCGAAGCCAAGCACAGAUUUGCUAAAACGGUUGGUAAAAACUCGUGCAACUUCAAGAAUAUUUCCAAAAGUGUCGCAAGGCGAAUGUCCCUAAAUAUGGCGUUUUCACUUGGUUCCAUUAACAUUGAGCCAAAAGUUCAACUUAGUAUUGGACCCGGCAAUACAUUUGACAUUAGGGACAUCAAAGAUGAUGUAGAUUUUUCCACCAUAUCGUCAGCUCAGUGUAAUAAAAUAUUUUGCCUUGAUUUUGUUCAAAUAAAUGGUACAAAGAUUUCUCCACUAAACUAUUUUCUUAUUGGAAGUUCUGAGUCGGGGCUGCAAUUUUGUCAGGUGAUUUUGUGUUUUGUUCAUGAUGAGAGUGUAAAAUUAGCCGUUGCUCGUAUUCAAUAUGUUGAAAAAUUUCAAUAUUCAUACAUUUUCAAAGUAGGAAAAAAAGACAAGGCUGAAAUACUUGACCCCUUACAACUUGACCUUCAAAAUCCAUUGGUAGUGGUAAGGUCGUUCGAUGAGUGUGAUUCGGUGGAUAAUAUUUGUUGUCCUAUUGAGUUAAUUUAGUUAUAAGCUUAUAAUAAUAAUUCCCUUCUUUAUCGUGAUGCUCUCAAUAAUUAAUUAUAUAGCGAACCAAUUCGAAAUCUGUGACGUCCAGCGUGCAACAGAUUUCCGACGGUGACCAGUCAAGCCAGGAGGAUAAUAUUGUUCAGUACUUAGUGGUAACUCCGCCCACCGCUACGCCACCUCGCCAAGAGGAAAACAUAUUUGUGGAUG